AACAGGACGCCCAAAAAGGAAACAUCCAGCAAGGAGUUGGAAAAAACAGUUAUAAGAUGCUUGCUGAUCUGAGAUAUUUUUUCACGAACAUAAUGAAUAAUACCAACAUACCAAACUUUUUGGACUUUUCUUCUGUUGGAAAGAAUAAUUGUAAAGAACCACCUGGGGAGCUUUAUCUGAAACUGCAACAAUAUCUGAUAAUUUCCCAGAGUGUAACUUAUAAUGUACAUCAUCACACAGCAUCAAAAAAGAAAAUAAAAUUGUCUCAUAACA
Long non-coding RNA from Gorilla gorilla gorilla (western lowland gorilla), 273 nucleotides. RefSeq lists it as uncharacterized. Lineage: Eukaryota; Metazoa; Chordata; Mammalia; Primates; Hominidae. The transcript has 2 exons. The record is from RefSeq and is a predicted model, not a curated record.